This 339-nucleotide unclassified non-coding RNA is filed under the name uncultured fungus. Its description in RNAcentral is "partial contains 5.8S ribosomal RNA and internal transcribed spacer 2". The stretch from base 1 to 133 matches the Rfam family "5.8S ribosomal RNA", at positions 22 to 154 of the family's 154-position model. Lineage: Eukaryota; Fungi. The record is from RNAcentral.
UGGUUCUGGCAUCGAUGAAGAACGCAGCGAAAUGCGAUAAGUAAUGUGAAUUGCAGAAUUCAGUGAAUCAUCGAAUCUUUGAACGCACAUUGCGCCCUCUGGCAUUCCGGGGGGCAUGCCCGUUCGAGCGUCAUUAAAUCCAAUCAAGCCUGGCUUGGUAUUGGGCGUCGGGAGGUCCCCGCGCCCGAAAGUCACCGGCUGGCCGAGGACCGUCUUAGCGUUGUGACACACAAUAAUUCGCUUUCCGACGGGGUUGGACAAGUCUAGCCGUUAAACGCAACGAAUUUCUCGCGAAAUUUGAUUAAGGUUGACCUCGGAUCGGGUAGGAAUACCCGCUGA